UAAGGAAUAUUGGUCAAUGGGCGCAAGCCUGAACCAGCCAUGCCGCGUGCAGGAUGACGGCCCUAUGGGUUGUAAACUGCUUUUAUACGGGAAAAAACUUUCGUACGUGAUGCGAAACUGAUGGUACCGUAAGAAUAAGGAUCGGCUAACUCCGUGCCAGCAGCCGCGGUAAUACGGAGGAUCCAAGCGUUAUCCGGAUUUAUUGGGUUUAAAGGGUGCGUAGGCGGAUUAUUAAGUCAGUGGUGAAAGCCUGCAGCUUAACUGCAGAACUGCCAUUGAUACUGAUGAUCUUGAGUACAGUUGAGGUGGGCGGAAUAUGUCAUGUAGCGGUGAAAUGCUUAGAUAUGACAUAGAACACCAAUUGCGAAGGCAGCUCGCUAAACUGUAACUGACGCUGAGGCACGAAAGCGUGGGGAUCAAACAGG
RNAcentral lists this ribosomal RNA (425 nucleotides) under uncultured bacterium. Its description in RNAcentral is "bacterial SSU rRNA". It matches the Rfam family "Bacterial small subunit ribosomal RNA", at positions 355 to 776 of the family's 1533-position model. The record is from RNAcentral.